This 253-nucleotide ribosomal RNA is filed under the name uncultured prokaryote. RNAcentral's name for it is "partial 16S ribosomal RNA". It matches the Rfam family "Bacterial small subunit ribosomal RNA", at positions 525 to 777 of the family's 1533-position model. The record is from RNAcentral.
ACGAAGGGGGCGAGCGUUGUUCGGAUUUACUGGGCGUAAAGGGCGCGCAGGCGGUCAUUUUUGUCGAGUGUGAAAGCCCCGGGCUUAACCUGGGAACUGCGCUCGAAACGGGAUGACUAGAGAUCGGGAGAGGAGAGUGGAAUUCCCAGUGUAGAGGUGAAAUGCGUAGAUAUCUGGAGGAACACCGGUGGCGAAGGCGGCAUCCUGGACCAAUACUGACGCUGAGGAGCGAAAGCCAGGGGAGCAAACGGGA